This is an RNA transcript of Pan troglodytes (chimpanzee), 2005 nucleotides long. It is a transcript of the gene named aquaporin 11, with no coding region annotated. The record is from RefSeq and is a predicted model, not a curated record. The transcript has 6 exons. Lineage: Eukaryota; Metazoa; Chordata; Mammalia; Primates; Hominidae.
GCCCCGCCGGCCCUCCGCCGCCGCGCCCGCCUACAAGGCCCUGAGGGAGACGGCGGAGGGCGAGUGCCCGGCGGGCUCGGCUGACUGUUGGCCCUGCGGCCGGCGCCCUAGGCGGCCUCCCCGCGCCUCCCCGCCUCCUCGGCUCUGGUUCCAACACCCCAGCGCCAAGCCGGGGAGGCGGGGAGGACUUCCUAAGUGUGCCGCUCGGGAGCCUCCCGCUCGUCCCGCCCCGGAGCCUCCCGCUCGUCCCGCCCCGAGGGGCGUGAGGAGGGGAGGGGCUGCGGACUUCGGACUCGGGCCUGGAGACCGCCUCCUACCCAGAGCCGGAGCCCGCAACCCGCUCAGGCGGCGACGGAGCCAUGUCGCCGCUGCUGGGGCUCCUGCCCGAGCUGCAGGACAGCUGCACCUCGCUGGGACUGAUGCUGUCGGUGGUGCUGCUCAUGGGGCUGGCCCGCGUAGUCGCCCGGCAGCAGCUGCACAGGCCGGUGGCCCACGCCUUCGUCCUGGAGUUUCUAGCCACCUUCCAGCUCUGCUGCUGCACCCACGAGCUGCAACUGCUGAGCGAACAGCACCCCGCGCACCCCACCUGGACGCUGACGCUCGUCUACUUCUUCUCGCUUGUGCAUGGCCUGACUCUGGUGGGCACGUCCAGCAACCCGUGCGGCGUGAUGAUGCAGAUGAUGCUAGGGGGCAUGUCCCCCGAGACGGGUGCGGUGAGGCUAUUGGCUCAGCUGGUUAGUGCCCUGUGCAGCAGGUACUGCACAAGCGCCUUGUGGAGCUUGGGUCUGACCCAGUAUCACGUCAGCGAGAGGAGCUUCGCUUGCAAGAAUCCCAUCCAAGUCGACUUGCUCAAAGCGGUCAUCACAGAGGCCGUCUGCUCCUUUCUCUUCCACAGCGCUCUGCUGCACUUCCAGGAAGUCCGAACCAAGCUUCGUAUCCACCUGCUGGCUGCACUCAUCACCUUUUUGGUCUAUGCAGGGCCGACAUAUAGAGCCUUCAUGCAGUGCUUCUUUGAACACCCAGAGAAAGGAGCCACCUCUGCUGAAACUGAGAUACGGUGGUAUAGAUCGUUUCGGAUACUCUUACUGAAAAAUGAUCCUGGCUUUACAAAGUUCCUUUCGAUUUAAAGCACAAGGCACAUGAUUGAUCUCAGAUGCAGUGGGCAAUCUAGUCCUAAGUGGGAGGAGGAAAUCCAAAACACAAGUAUUUAAUGAUGAAAUGUGUCAUUUUAAAUGAUUACAACAGAAUAUCUUUAUUGGGACUACAUCUAAAUUAUAAAAGACUGUGGAGGCAGAAAUAACAACAAAGGAAAUUUGUGGUAAUAAUCUUCUGCCCAUUAAAAGUGAAACCAUGACUAGAAGCAAACUUCAAGAUAAGGACUCCUAAACAUGUACUUGAAAUGAAAUGAAAGCCUUCAGCCGGGCGCGGUGGCUCACACCUGUAAUCCCAGCACUUUGGGAGACCGAGGAGGAAGUCUAACAGGAGCUGUAUUUAAUCCAGCUUUGGCACUUUCGCUACAUUUCAUGUGUUUUGAUGAAGCAUUCCCUCAGUUUUUUAUAGUAUACUGGCUGGCUCCUUCUUUAGGUAUAUUGUUGAUGAUUUUGAUGUUCAGCUUUUUCCUUCCAUGGCUGCAUAACAACCAUACAAUUAAUAAAAAGGAAUAACUGUUCCAAAGACUCAGACUAACAUACAGGACAGUCCAGCUGGAUGUGAUAAAGAUUUUAUCACCUCAUAUGGAAAACACCGGCUGCACUGGAUUCAUCAGUGUUAACUUCCUUUGAGGAAGCUGCCUUAUAGUUUUCAUCACUGGGACUUAAAAAAAAAUUACUGUGAAAAUGAGGUAUUCUGUACUUCUCAGUUAAGACUUGUUCUUUGAGUGAUGUAUUAAAUGCUGCUAGAAAAGCCUCAUUACAUUAAACAUAAAUCAAUCUUAAAUGAUAAUUGUUAACUUUGAUGAAAAACGAGUACAGGAUGAGAAGGGAAGUAAAGGUGAUAGUAAGACCAA